GUAGAUUACCUUGUUGUUGCUGCUGUUGUGUGAUAACUGUAGUUCCACCAGUGUGUGAAGUGGUAUGAAUACUUGUCGUCCUAGUUGUAUGCUUUUUACAAAUGACAAUUAUAACAACUAUGACAACUAUAAAAAUGAUAAUUCCUACUAUCGCACCGGCUAUGGCACCACUGAAAGAGUUAGUAUUAAGUAUCAAUUAAUAUUCAAAUUAUGUACGUGGAUCAUAAAUAUAAACAAACCAUACUUAUCCAGAUGC
Molecule: long non-coding RNA, 256 nt
Filed under: Mytilus galloprovincialis (Mediterranean mussel)
Lineage: Eukaryota; Metazoa; Mollusca; Bivalvia; Mytilida; Mytilidae
Source: RNAcentral